RNAcentral lists this long non-coding RNA (1902 nucleotides) under Triticum aestivum (bread wheat). RNAcentral describes it as "long non-coding RNA (TAES_LNC018438)". The record is from RNAcentral. Lineage: Eukaryota; Viridiplantae; Streptophyta; Magnoliopsida; Poales; Poaceae.
UAAUUGUUCCAUUGAUUUUGCUCUGGUGAGUUCUUCCCCAUAUACCUUUGAUGCUUUUGCCUCCAUACCUUCGAGCUGGUAUUUUUUUCAAGGGUUAUCAUGUUUUUGUGGUAGUGUGACUGGCUCAGAGUUUAUAAUCAUUUAUCUUCUUCAAUGAAUGUCUGUGCUAUGAUAUUCUGUAAGGCUAGGCACACACUAAGUUGGUUAAUGCUUUUGAUCUAGGUUGUUGGGAGAUAAUGAAACAAUAAUGUUUAUCUGCUCACAAUGCCUUAUAUUGAUUGUUCUGGAUAGGUAUUUUAAUCGUAAGAGAUGUCUCCAAAAAGGCAAAAACAACAAUUCACUGUUGAUUUACUUUUCUACGAUUGCUCCCAUUAGAUUGUCCUUAAAUCAUGUGCAAAGCUGAAGUAUUGUUCGCUGACUGUCAGCCUGACAGAUCAGAUGGGAUGAUGAUGCAGAGUGUUAAAAGGCCUAAUGGGUUAUCUCCUUGGUAGAUGAAGCUUGUUGGAUUGAUUUCAGGCCAUUGAAAACAGAUGACACCAUGCCUCCCCCAGUUAAUGAACAUGUGUCGCUUCCAAGUAAUAAUGAAUUUUCUACUCUCUCUGCUCUGCUGAACUUUCUUUUCUUUUGCCAUUUUGGCUGGUAGUCUUUCAUAGAAUUUUGUGAUAUCUACCUGACUCCACAAGGUCAUGCAACAUUAAGAAUUGCUGGGUUUGAAAAACACAUGAUGGAAUUGUUAAUUCAUUAUCUCUGUCUGAAGCAAGACAUUUUUGGUACACUGUUGAAUAGAGUUGAUGUAUCAGCAUAAGUAACAUUGCAACAUUCUAAGGGUUGGUGCUAAAAACCAACCUAGAAACCAUUGUUUUCCCAACAACUAUGUGGUUCAUAUGUUGAUAUGAUUGUUUACUGGUAGGACAACCAGGAGGUAGUGCAAUAUCCUUAUUAGUUAUACUCAGGGAUGCAAAAUCUUCACCUGAUGAUUCCACCCCUUUUUACAUGACACUAGCUGCCGCAUGGUAAAAGGUGUCUCGCCGAUGCUCUUUAUGACACCCGCUGACAGAUUAAUGAGUGCACUCAUAGAGAACAUAACAAGGUAUUUUAGGAAGUGCUUGGACUAGGUUCAAAUUUUUUACAGUUUUAGGCACGCUUUUUUUAAGUGUUGGUUUCAAGUUUUUCUUUCCGACACAGUUAGACUUUCUGAAAUACAGCCUUGAACUACACAUGAAACAAUAGUGUUUAUUUGGUCACCAGCAAGAUGAUGAUGUGAAACGAAUGACUUUGCGUCUUUCAGAGUUUCUACCAUUAAAUAGUUUCCCAUAACAGAAUAUUUGCUAAUAUUGGUAGCUAAAAAUGAGAUACUUAUGCUUGUUGAUGCAUUCCCUUUUUGUAGUAACAUCCAUGUGUCCAGCAUAUGUAGAAUAUUAGAUUUUUUGGCUGUUUAUUGUAGUUCGUUCUCAAGGUUUGGAAAAUUCUUUAGCUAUAUUCCUUGUCUCAAGCGAGCAUGAGCAAUAUCUUCUUUAUGCCGCAUGCCGCCAAUUUUCUCUAUUUUAGAUGGUUGUGUAUUUUCUCUUCUAAAAAGGGAUAUGUAUUUUAUUAAUCUGACUAUAAUUUGUGGUAGGUACAUACUGAAGGAUGUUCUGAGGCUAGCACCUGGUUUAGAAGUUUUGCAAUUCACAACAAUACCUCAUAAUUUUGAUUUGAUGUCCAGAAUGUCAAUUGAAGAAUGAGCAUAUGAACUGCAUUGUAUUUUGUAAUAUAUCCUUAUAUAUGGUGCUUGUGGUGUUUUGUUUUUGCAAUUAUAAGUUUACGUUUAUGGGUAUUAUAGAGUCCUUUCUUUUUCCACAAGGGGUAGUAGCCGUGCCAUUCGAUUCGAAGGACAAAGAGUUGAUCACAAAGGGGUAGCAC